RNAcentral lists this ribosomal RNA (253 nucleotides) under uncultured bacterium. RNAcentral describes it as "partial 16S ribosomal RNA". It matches the Rfam family "Bacterial small subunit ribosomal RNA", at positions 524 to 776 of the family's 1533-position model. The record is from RNAcentral.
UACGGGGGGGGUAAGCGUUGUUCGGAAUUACUGGGCGUAAAGGGCUCGUAGGCGGCCAACUAAGUCAGACGUGAAAUCCCUCAGCUUAACUGGGGAACUGCGUCCGAUACUGGAAGGCUUGAAUCCGGGAGAGGGAUGCGGAACUCCAGGUGUAGCGGUGAAAUGCGUAGAUAUCUGGAGGAACACCGGUGGCGAAGGCGGCAUCCUGGACCGGUAUUGACGCUGAGGCGCGAAAGCCAGGGGAGCAAACGGG